Molecule: ribosomal RNA, 770 nt
Filed under: uncultured rumen protozoa
Lineage: Eukaryota
Description: bacterial SSU rRNA
Rfam family: Eukaryotic small subunit ribosomal RNA
Source: RNAcentral
GGGAAAAAAAAAAGGGGGGGAAAAAGGGGGAGAAUCAAGAAAGAACGCGAGAUAGAGUGUCUGGGGGUACGUUAAAAAGUAAAGAUAGAAAUGCCAUGCCGUAAGGUUGUGUUUAUUAGAUAUUCCAAAUAAGAUGAAUCAUAAUAACUCCGCAAAUCUCGAUUUCAUCGAGAUAAAUCAUCCAAUUCUCCCGCCCUAUCAGCUUUCGAUGGUAGUGUAUUGGACUACCAUGGCUCUCACGGGUAACAGGGAAUACGGGCCAAGAAACCCGGAGAAGGAGCCUGAGACACGGUCACUACAUCUGAGGGAGGGCAGCAGGCGCGUCAAUUACCCAAUCCUGACUCAGGGAGGUGGUGACAAGAUAUAAUAACCCUAUUAACGUAGUGAUUAUAGUGAGGAUAUUCCAAACAGAAUCACAAGAACGAUUAGAGGGCAAGUCUGGUGCCAGCAGCCGCGGUAAUUCCAGCUCUAUAGCGUAUAUAAAGUUGCUGCAGUUAGAAGCUCGUAGUUGGAUUCAAGGAUUCUAUUCUAUGGAAGUGACCUAUAGCCUUUCAGGUGUUCUGUGAGAAAUAAAGUGUUAAGCAGGCUCUGCAGAUCCUAGCUGGAUACGAUGGUCAGAUCUGCUAUCAAUCCGAUAUAGACGGUGGGCUGAUUAUGCGAGGGAUCUGAUGUAGAUACAUGGAGCUGCGGGUCUCACAGAGGAAACACGCGACUUAACCCAGGAGAUCCUCUAAAAUGUGGGGCAAAUAGAAGGGCUAGAAGAGAUUGCG